This is a long non-coding RNA of Oryza sativa Japonica Group (Japanese rice), 1444 nucleotides long. RefSeq lists it as uncharacterized. NCBI's taxonomy places the organism in Eukaryota, Viridiplantae, Streptophyta, Magnoliopsida, Poales, Poaceae. The record is from RefSeq and is a predicted model, not a curated record.
AGGGGGGGUCCGGGGACGCGAGCGUAGCGGCGGCGCGCCGACACUGCAGCAGUCAGGGCACGCGGCACUCCGGCCGCUGGCUACUGGCGGGCGGCAGCAAGGCAGGGUGCAGGUGGGCUGGCGGCCAGCUGGGGGAUGCGGCGGCGUGACGCGGCAUCAAGCAGGGAAGGGGGCAUCUGGGCAAGGUGCAAAGGGCGUCAGCAGCAAGCAGCAGCACUGCAGCAGGUCAUCAGCCCAUUGCCCAGCACAGCAGAUUGAGGAAUUGUGGUUGUGAAGAUGCCGAAAAGAACACUGCUCACAUAUUAUUCUAGUUUAAGUAACACAAAUACCAGCGAUCCUCCACUCAAUAAUGAGAUUGCAAGUCAGUCAAAGAGGCCUAGGGCAGAGUUUAGUCAUAUGGAUAUCAUUGGUGAUCCAGUGGAAUGGAAACCAAUUGAGAAUUAUCAACCUGAAAUUAGAGAUCAAGUAAAAAGGAUAUAUGCAUUGAGUGGUCCAACUCAACCAGAUUUUUGCACAUUUCCUCGUAAGUGGCAAAGUGGUGAAUGGAGGUCCUUUCAAAAAGCUUGGUUCAAUGAGUUCGAUUGGCUUGAGUAUAGUGUUUCAAAGGAUGCAGCUUAUUGCUUGUAUUGUUAUCUUUUCUUUUAGCUAGGAAAACCUAAAAAUUUGGAAGUUCUGUAUUUGCUAAGGAAGGUUUUGUUAAUUGGAAGAAAGCUAAAGAUAGGCUUGCUACACAUAGUAAUUGUAAGACUCACAAUGAUACUAGGAAAAAAUGCAAAGACUUUAUGAACCAAAGGACAAGUAUAUUUAGGAAAAUUGAGAUUGUUAGCAAGGAGGAAGACAUUAGAUACAAGAUUCGGUUGACAUCUUCUUUAGAUGUUAUAAGGUUUCUCAUUAAGCAAGGUGAUCCUUUCCGUGGACAAGAUAAGACCAAUGCAUCCCUCAAUAAGGGUAAAUUUAGAGAGAUGGUUAAUUGGUACAAAGACAAGGUCCCAUAAGAGCAAUAAAAAUUGCCAAAUGUUAUCACAUGACAUUCAACAGGAUCUUACUAAAGCUUGUGCAGAAGAAGUGACGGCCGUGAUUAUGGAUGAGAUUGGACAUUGAAAUUUCUCCGUGCUUAUUGAUGAAUCUUGUGAUGUAUCGAUAAAUGAGCAAAUGGGUGUCAUCUUGAGAUUUGUGAAUGAUGGAAGGGAAAGUGAUGGAGAGAUUUUUGGGUCUUAAACACAUUGAGAGAUGUACAACGGUUGCAUUAAAAGAAGCUUUGGUUGGUAUGCUUUCUAGUUAUAAGUUAAUCAUCUCUAGGAUUCGUGAGCAGGGUUAUGUUGGAGCUUCUAAUAUGAGAGGGGAAUUUAAUGGUGUGCAGAAAUUGAUUAGGGAUGAAAACCCUUUUGCUUAUUUUGUCCAUUGUUUUGCCCAUCAAUUACAGUUAGUGGUUGUUACUGUUUCA